CUCCUUUUACGAACAAAAUAUGGUGUCUCUAAUCUCUGUUCAUCCUUCAUUAGUGGCAACGAGGAAGGAGUUCGCUGACUUAGAAAGUCAGCUAAAAGAAAGAGGAUGUCGGUUGGAUCCAGAUAAUGGAGUAAAAAUGAAAUUUGUUGUUGAACUAAUCAGACUCUGUGGUGGAUUGAAGGAGAGGGUUAUAAUAUUUAGCCAGUUACUUGAUCCUCUAAACUUGAUCAAGGAGCAACUCCAUUCUCUCUUUGGCUGGACUUUAGGCCGAGAGAUCCUCUAUAUGGAUGGAAAACUUGAUGUAAAGCAGCGACAGAUAUCAAUAAAUUCUCUUAAUGAUCCUAAGAGUGAUGUAAAAGUGCUUCUUGCAUCAAUAAAAGCCUGUUCAGAAGGAAUAAGUCUUAUAGGGGCCUCAAGAGUGGUUUUGCUUGAUGUUCUCUGGAAUCCCUCAGUAGAACAGCAAGCCAUCAGUCGAGCCUACAGAAAUGGUCAGACUAAAUUUGUUCAUGUGUACUGCCCAGUGUCGUCAAAAUGG
This 535-nucleotide unclassified non-coding RNA is filed under the name Hevea brasiliensis (rubber tree). Lineage: Eukaryota; Viridiplantae; Streptophyta; Magnoliopsida; Malpighiales; Euphorbiaceae. The record is from RNAcentral.